ACAGCUGCGCUGGGUCAUCCUGAGGACACAGCUGGAGCAUCACAAUCAGUCAGUGUGCACCACACGCUGCCCUGACACAGUUUCUAGACUUUGAUGGAUUCCUUUCUCUGAGUUGCAGUUGUAAGAUGAUGUUGAUGAUUCUGAUGGUGGUGAUACACCAGCUUGGAACCCUGUUGGCUACCAAGAGGAAUGUUUGCCAUCCGAUGCUAUUUUUUUGUUAAACCUUUUGAUCCAGAAAACCUAUUCCUGGGAUAAUACUGAAAACAAACGUCUUACUCAUGCAUAGCAGAAGACAUCUAUGAUAAUAUUUAUAGCAUUGUUAUAAUGAAUACUAUGAUGAAUGCUAUAAUGAAAGCCUGGAAGCUGCCUUGAGUCUGUCAUCAUGGGAUUAGAUGAAUAAUCUGUGGAAUAGUCACCCAGUAAUAUUACACAGGAUUAAUGUUAUAGCAAUUGGAUGGACAUUUAGUGCUCUAAUACUAAAGAAUAAAACAAAC
Mustela lutreola (European mink) is the source of this 494-nucleotide long non-coding RNA. RefSeq lists it as uncharacterized. The transcript has 3 exons. The record is from RefSeq and is a predicted model, not a curated record. NCBI's taxonomy places the organism in Eukaryota, Metazoa, Chordata, Mammalia, Carnivora, Mustelidae.